GGUCCGUUGGUCAAGGGGUUAAGACACCGCCUUUUCGCGGCGGUAACACGGGUUCGAAUCCCGUACGGACUA
Molecule: transfer RNA, 72 nt
Filed under: Streptococcus agalactiae
Lineage: Bacteria; Bacillati; Bacillota; Bacilli; Lactobacillales; Streptococcaceae
Also listed under: 2 other names
Description: tRNA-Glu
Rfam family: tRNA
About the family: Transfer RNA (tRNA) molecules are approximately 80 nucleotides in length. Their secondary structure includes four short double-helical elements and three loops (D, anti-codon, and T loops).
Source: RNAcentral